RNAcentral lists this ribosomal RNA (790 nucleotides) under Platygyra lamellina. RNAcentral describes it as "partial large subunit ribosomal RNA". Lineage: Eukaryota; Metazoa; Cnidaria; Anthozoa; Scleractinia; Merulinidae. The record is from RNAcentral.
CCCGCUGAAUUUAAGCAUAUUAAUAAGCGGAGGAAAAGAAACUAACAAGGAUUCCCUCAGUAACGGCGAGUGAAGCGGGAAGAGCUCAAAUUUGAAAUCUCCGAUGCUUGCAUCGGCGAGUUGUAGUUGCGAGAAGCACUUUCUAGGCGGAUCGACGGUGCCUAAGUUGCUUGGAACGGCACGUCGCAGAGGGUGACAACCCCGUCUGUGGCGCCGCCGGCCGCCGACGAUGUGCUUUCGAAGAGUCGGGUUGUUUGGGAAUGCAGCCCAAAACGGGUGGUAAACUCCAUCUAAAGCUAAAUACUGGCGUGAGACCGAUAGCGAACAAGUACCGUGAGGGAAAGAUGAAAAGAACUUUGAAAAGAGAGUUAAAAAGURCGUGAAACCGUCGAAAGGGAAACGAAUGGACUCAGCAAUGCGCCCUCUGAGAUUCAGCCGGUGGGUGGCGGCGGCGCCGGGUUUGCGGAUCUGAAUGGACCGCGGCCUGGCGCCCGCCUCUUCCCGCCGUCGCACUUCUCUGGGGCGCGCGUCAACGUGGGUUGGGACUGGGUCUGAAAGGCGCCGGGAAGGUAGGUGUGGGCCUUCGGGUCCGUUCUGUUACAGCCCGGUUCUCUCAUGGCUCGGGCCCGACCGAGGAGCGACACGGGGCAUGCCUCCUGUGGCUAGGGUCCCGCCCUUCCGGCCGGCUGUCCAGUGCGGUGGACUGCUUGCAGUGCUCCGCGACGGCUGCCGGUCGUUGGGGUGGUGAUCUCGUACCAUGCCCCUAGGAUGUUGGCGGUCAUAUGGGUGC